Long non-coding RNA from Homarus americanus (American lobster), 226 nucleotides. RefSeq lists it as uncharacterized. The transcript has 2 exons. The record is from RefSeq and is a predicted model, not a curated record. Lineage: Eukaryota; Metazoa; Arthropoda; Malacostraca; Decapoda; Nephropidae.
AAGUAUUGAAAUCAUACACAUGGCUAUUGCCAGUGUUAAUGCCUGUAUUAUGUGUUGUUACCCAAGGUGAGAUAUGGUAAGAUUCCGUGUUGUUCAUUCCGAAUAACAUGAUGAUGUAACUAAUGUGGUAAUAUCUAUGAUGUUGACAAGGUUGUAAAAUAACCACCUGUAUUGUCAAAGAUGCAAUAUAACAAUUAUGGAGUGUUGUAAUAAAUAAUUGAAGAUC